This is a small nuclear RNA of Hyla sarda, 186 nucleotides long. RefSeq annotates it as U2 spliceosomal RNA. Lineage: Eukaryota; Metazoa; Chordata; Amphibia; Anura; Hylidae. The record is from RefSeq and is a predicted model, not a curated record. The transcript has a single exon.
AUCGCUUCUCGGCCUUUUGGCUUCGAUCCCGUGCGGUUUACCGGGCGGGUUAGGAGUUGAAGGGGGUGGUGAUCGGGGCCCUCUUUUAAAUGGAUUUUUGAGAACGGGGGCCGAUUUCGAAGCUUGCUUCCGUCGCCCUAUGCAUUGACCCGAUAUGGCAGUAUCUUCGGGUACAGUGCACCACCC